AUUGAACGCUGGCGGCAGGCCUAACACAUGCAAGUCGAGCGCGAAAGUCUUCGGAUGAGUAAAGCGGCGGACGGGUGAGUAAUGCAUGGGAAUCUGCCUGGUAGUGGGGGACAACGUUUCGAAAGAGACGCUAAUACCGCAUACGCCCUACGGGGGAAAGGGGGGGAUCUUCGGACCUCUCGCUAUCAGAUGAGCCCAUGUCAGAUUAGCUAGUUGGUAGGGUAAAGGCCUACCAAGGCGACGAUCUGUAACGGGUCUGAGAGGAUGAUCAGUCACACUGGAACUGAGACACGGUCCAGACUCCUACGGGAGGCAGCAGUGGGGAAUAUUGGACAAUGGGGGCAACCCUGAUCCAGCCAUGCCGCGUGUGUGAAGAAGGCCCUAGGGUUGUAAAGCACUUUCAGUGGGGAGAAAGGUUGUUCAGUUAAUACCUGAAUGAAUUGAUGUUACCCACAGAAGAAGCACCGGCUAACUCCGUGCCAGCCGCCGCCGUAA
RNAcentral lists this ribosomal RNA (495 nucleotides) under uncultured bacterium. Its description in RNAcentral is "partial 16S ribosomal RNA". It matches the Rfam family "Bacterial small subunit ribosomal RNA", at positions 30 to 523 of the family's 1533-position model. The record is from RNAcentral.